Molecule: ribosomal RNA, 2110 nt
Filed under: Salmonella enterica
Lineage: Bacteria; Pseudomonadati; Pseudomonadota; Gammaproteobacteria; Enterobacterales; Enterobacteriaceae
Description: partial 23S ribosomal RNA
Rfam family: Bacterial large subunit ribosomal RNA
Source: RNAcentral
AGACCCGAAACCCGGUGAUCUAGCCAUGGGCAGGUUGAAGGUUGGGUAACACUAACUGGAGGACCGAACCGACUAAUGUUGAAAAAUUAGCGGAUGACCUGUGGCUGGGGGUGAAAGGCCAAUCAAACCGGGAGAUAGCUGGUUCUCCCCGAAAGCUAUUUAGGUAGCGCCUCGUGAAUUCAUCUCCGGGGGUAGAGCACUGUUUCGGCUAGGGGGCCAUCCCGGCUUACCAACCCGAUGCAAACUGCGAAUACCGGAGAAUGUUAUCACGGGAGACACACGGCGGGUGCUAACGUCCGUCGUGAAGAGGGAAACAACCCAGACCGCCAGCUAAGGUCCCAAAGUCAUGGUUAAGUGGGAAACGAUGUGGGAAGGCCCAGACAGCCAGGAUGUUGGCUUAGAAGCAGCCAUCAUUUAAAGAAAGCGUAAUAGCUCACUGGUCGAGUCGGCCUGCGCGGAAGAUGUAACGGGGCUAAACCAUGCACCGAAGCUGCGGCAGCGACACUAUGUGUUGUUGGGUAGGGGAGCGUUCUGUAAGCCUGUGAAGGUGUGCUGUGAGGCAUGCUGGAGGUAUCAGAAGUGCGAAUGCUGACAUAAGUAACGAUAAAGCGGGUGAAAAGCCCGCUCGCCGGAAGACCAAGGGUUCCUGUCCAACGUUAAUCGGGGCAGGGUGAGUCGACCCCUAAGGCGAGGCCGAAAGGCGUAGUCGAUGGGAAACGGGUUAAUAUUCCCGUACUUGGUGUUACUGCGAAGGGGGGACGGAGAAGGCUAUGUUGGCCGGGCGACGGUUGUCCCGGUUUAAGCGUGUAGGUGUGUGUUCCAGGUAAAUCCGGUUCACUUUAACACUGAGGCGUGAUGACGAGGCACUACGGUGCUGAAGCAACAAAUGCCCUGCUUCCAGGAAAAGCCUCUAAGCAUCAGGUAACAUCAAAUCGUACCCCAAACCGACACAGGUGGUCAGGUAGAGAAUACCAAGGCGCUUGAGAGAACUCGGGUGAAGGAACUAGGCAAAAUGGUGCCGUAACUUCGGGAGAAGGCACGCUGACAUGUAGGUGAAGUGAUUUACUCAUGGAGCUGAAGUCAGUCGAAGAUACCAGCUGGCUGCAACUGUUUAUUAAAAACACAGCACUGUGCAAACACGAAAGUGGACGUAUACGGUGUGACGCCUGCCCGGUGCCGGAAGGUUAAUUGAUGGGGUCAGCGCAAGCGAAGCUCCUGAUCGAAGCCCCGGUAAACGGCGGCCGUAACUAUAACGGUCCUAAGGUAGCGAAAUUCCUUGUCGGGUAAGUUCCGACCUGCACGAAUGGCGUAAUGAUGGCCAGGCUGUCUCCACCCGAGACUCAGUGAAAUUGAACUCGCUGUGAAGAUGCAGUGUACCCGCGGCAAGACGGAAAGACCCCGUGAACCUUUACUAUAGCUUGACACUGAACAUUGAGCCUUGAUGUGUAGGAUAGGUGGGAGGCUUUGAAGUGUGGACGCCAGUCUGCAUGGAGCCGACCUUGAAAUACCACCCUUUAAUGUUUGAUGUUCUAACGUGGACCCGUGAUCCGGGUUGCGGACAGUGUCUGGUGGGUAGUUUGACUGGGGCGGUCUCCUCCUAAAGAGUAACGGAGGAGCACGAAGGUUGGCUAAUCCUGGUCGGACAUCAGGAGGUUAGUGCAAUGGCAUAAGCCAGCUUGACUGCGAGCGUGACGGCGCGAGCAGGUGCGAAAGCAGGUCAUAGUGAUCCGGUGGUUCUGAAUGGAAGGGCCAUCGCUCAACGGAUAAAAGGUACUCCGGGGAUAACAGGCUGAUACCGCCCAAGAGUUCAUAUCGACGGCGGUGUUUGGCACCUCGAUGUCGGCUCAUCACAUCCUGGGGCUGAAGUAGGUCCCAAGGGUAUGGCUGUUCGCCAUUUAAAGUGGUACGCGAGCUGGGUUUAGAACGUCGUGAGACAGUUCGGUCCCUAUCUGCCGUGGGCGCUGGAGAACUGAGGGGGGCUGCUCCUAGUACGAGAGGACCGGAGUGGACGCAUCACUGGUGUUCGGGUUGUCAUGCCAAUGGCACUGCCCGGUAGCUAAAUGCGGAAGAGAUAAGUGCUGAAAGCAUCUAAGCACGAAACUUGCCCCGA